Small nuclear RNA from Malaclemys terrapin pileata, 161 nucleotides. RefSeq annotates it as U1 spliceosomal RNA. The transcript has a single exon. The record is from RefSeq and is a predicted model, not a curated record. NCBI's taxonomy places the organism in Eukaryota, Metazoa, Chordata, Testudines, Emydidae.
GUAUUUACCUGGCAGGGGAGAUACCAUGAUCACCAACGUUUUCCCAGGGUGAGGCUUAUCCAUUGCACUGCGGGUGUGCUGACCCCUGUGACUUCUCCGAAUGCGGGAAACUCAACUGCAGAACUUGUGGUAGUGUGGGACUGCGUUCGUGCUUUCCCCUU